AUUGAACGCUGGCGGCGGGCCUAACACAUGCAAGUCGAGCGGAUGACGGGAGCUUGCUCCUUGAUUCAGCGGCGGACGGGUGAGUAAUGCCUAGGAAUCUGCCUGGUAGUGGGGGACAACGUUUCGAAAGGAACGCUAAUACCGCAUACGUCCUACGGGAGAAAGCAGGGGACCUUCGGGCCUUGCGCUAUCAGAUGAGCCUAGGUCGGAUUAGCUAGUAGGGGAGGUAAUGGCUCACCUAGGCGACGAUCCGUAACUGGUCUGAGAGGAUGAUCAGUCACACUGGAACUGAGACACGGUCCAGACUCCUACGGGAGGCAGCAGUGGGGAAUAUUGGACAAUGGGCGAAAGCCUGAUCCAGCCAUGCCGCGUGUGUGAAGAAGGUCUUCGGAUUGUAAAGCACUUUAAGUUGGGAGGAAGGGUUGUACGUUAAUACCGUGCAAUUUUGACGUUACCGACAGAAUAAGCACCGGCUAACUCUGUGCCAGCAGCCGCCGUAA
This 500-nucleotide ribosomal RNA is filed under the name uncultured bacterium. RNAcentral describes it as "partial 16S ribosomal RNA". It matches the Rfam family "Bacterial small subunit ribosomal RNA", at positions 30 to 523 of the family's 1533-position model. The record is from RNAcentral.